UACGGGGGGGGCAAGCGUUGCUCGGAAUUACUGGGCGUAAAGGGCGCGUAGGCGGUCAGCUAAGUCAGCUGUGAAAACCUCGGGCUUAACCCGAGGCCUGCAGUUGAAACUGUUUGGCUGGAGUGUGGGAGAGGAGAGUGGAAUUCCCGGUGUAGCGGUGAAAUGCGUAGAUAUCUGGAGGAACACCGGUGGCGAAGGCGGCAUCCUGGACCAACACUGACGCUGAGUGAGCGAAAGCCAGGGGAGCAAACGGG
Molecule: ribosomal RNA, 254 nt
Filed under: uncultured bacterium
Lineage: Bacteria
Description: partial 16S ribosomal RNA
Rfam family: Bacterial small subunit ribosomal RNA
Source: RNAcentral